AUGCAAUUCUACUCCACAAUACACUUCUAUCCAGAUGGCAGGAUAGUAUGGAUGUCUGAAGGUACAAGGUACCACUCAACUAUUGAGGAAUGGGCAAAUCUGAUCAAUGCUCCUAAGGAAGAAGAAGAUGACUUGGAUGUCUAUGCCAAGAAGAAGAUGGAUCACAACUCUAUGGCAAACAUGUACAAGGAGAUUCCUGAAGAUGAUCUUGAGACUCACCAGUUUGGGUCAGUAAAACACUUGCUGUCAGGGCUGCCUACAAUCAAUUGGAUCCUUAGGCACACUCUCUUGCCCAAGUCUGGUGAUCACAAAAUGAUCAGAGGCCAUGCAAUUAACUUGCUACAUAUAUUUGAUGUGCCACAGAAGUUCAAGGUCAUGAGCCUUAUAGUUGAGACUAUCAAGAGGACUGCAGCUCACCAGAAAAGAAGUUGUGGAUAUGCCCCACAAAUUUAG
This 453-nucleotide ribosomal RNA is filed under the name Triticum aestivum (bread wheat). RNAcentral describes it as "partial small subunit ribosomal RNA". Lineage: Eukaryota; Viridiplantae; Streptophyta; Magnoliopsida; Poales; Poaceae. The record is from RNAcentral.